This 537-nucleotide ribosomal RNA is filed under the name uncultured bacterium. RNAcentral's name for it is "bacterial SSU rRNA". It matches the Rfam family "Bacterial small subunit ribosomal RNA", at positions 88 to 618 of the family's 1533-position model. The record is from RNAcentral.
CCGGCGACCGGCGCACGGGUGAGUAACACGUAUGAAACCUGCCCGUAGCAGGGGGAUAAGCGGAAGAAAUUCCGUCUAAUACCGCGUAACAACCCAUGGAGGCAUCUCCGUGGGUUUAAAGGAAGCGAUUCCGGCUACGGAUGGUCAUGCGUCGCAUUAGCUUGUUGGCAGGGUAACGGCCCACCAAGGCGACGAUGCGUAGGGGUUCUGAGAGGAAGGUCCCCCACACUGGUACUGAGACACGGACCAGACUCCUACGGGAGGCAGCAGUGAGGAAUAUUGGUCAAUGGCCGCAGGGCUGAACCAGCCAAGUCGCGUGAGGGAUGACGGUCCUAUGGAUUGUAAACCUCUUUUGUCAGGGAGCAAAGGGCGCCACGUGUGGCGUUUUGCGAGUACCUGAAGAAAAAGCAUCGGCUAACUCCGUGCCAGCAGCCGCGGUAAUACGGAGGAUGCGAGCGUUAUCCGGAUUUAUUGGGUUUAAAGGGUGCGCAGGCGGAAUGUCAAGUCAGCGGUAAGAUUUCGGGGCUCAAACCCCGU